Molecule: ribosomal RNA, 417 nt
Filed under: Triticum aestivum (bread wheat)
Lineage: Eukaryota; Viridiplantae; Streptophyta; Magnoliopsida; Poales; Poaceae
Description: partial small subunit ribosomal RNA
Source: RNAcentral
AUGAGGAUACAACACACCUGCCCUAGUUCUACUGAAACAAGCAGGGUAAGUGCAAAGUGGCUUGCAAAGAAAUAUGAGCCACUAUUCAGAUCUGAUGUCAGUACUAGCAUACAUACACUUAUUGAUGCCUGCAUGGAAAAGUAUGGUGUGGAUGUGCCCAAGGCUAUGACAUAUAGGGCAAAAAACUUAGCUGUUGAGGCUGUGUUGGGAGAUCAUAGGAAGCAAUACCCAAGGCUGAGAGACUAUGCUCAGACUGUGAUGGAUACAAACCCUGGGAGUAGAGUUAUAGUCACCACUGUAACUCCAAAAGCCACUGAAAAAAUCCCACAUCCAGGACCAAGAUUCCAUGCCAUGUUUUACUGCAUCAAUGGAGCAAGGGAGGGAUUUCUACAGGGCUGUAGACCAUUCAUUGGUUAG